This is a non-coding RNA of Bos taurus (domestic cattle), 69 nucleotides long. NCBI's taxonomy places the organism in Eukaryota, Metazoa, Chordata, Mammalia, Artiodactyla, Bovidae. The record is from Rfam.
CCUGGUGGCUCAGAUGGUAAAGCAUCUGCCUGCAAUGCGGGAGACCCAGGUUCAAUCCCUGGGUCAGGA